Molecule: non-coding RNA, 48 nt
Filed under: Ruegeria atlantica
Lineage: Bacteria; Pseudomonadati; Pseudomonadota; Alphaproteobacteria; Rhodobacterales; Roseobacteraceae
Description: Guanidine-II sequence
Rfam family: Guanidine-II riboswitch aptamer (mini-ykkC)
About the family: Simpler in structure and has fewer highly conserved nucleotide positions than the ykkC-yxkD leader. Despite this each of its two stem-loop structures directly bind free guanidine. Therefore, mini-ykkC RNA motif represents a distinct class of guanidine-sensing RNAs.
Source: RNAcentral
AGCCGAGGACGACCUCGCCUUGUUGGCUGAUCAUUCGGGACGACCCGA